AUUCAGCAAAGAUGCAGACCUUGAAGAUAGCUGACAUAUGGAAACUGUUAGAAUGAGAUUAGAAGCUGCCAACAACCUUCAAUCAUCAUUACUCACAGUGAGUCCUGAUGAGUAAUGGGAUGAUCAGUUAGUUGUACCUCCAAGUACAUGGAGGAUACUCUCAAAGAGAGAGAGAGCUGAGCCUCCAGAGGCUGAAGGACUGUCAGAUGGAGUCUGAACUCCUUGUUCAACUGAAGAUCAACAAUCUUGAAAAACAGAAACUGCAUUGUGGGAUGACAUGAAUUCUCAAAGGAUCAGAACUGGACGCUGGGACAAGCCAUGAAUGGAGAAGAGAAGACCUUGAGGAGAGAAGAGUCAGGGAGGAAAGAAAAAUAAGGGACAAAAUAUAGCAGUAAGGAACAUUUUUGAUGAUUCCAGAUAGGCCUGGAAAUCAAGAUUCCUCAUGGCCCUGCUUAUAAAAGGGUAUCAGGGACUGGCAUCUUGGAGAGCACUCAGUGGAUAAUCAAUAGAUACUUACUGACCGAAUGACUGAUCGACUAAUGCACUUUUCAUUUGGAUUCCAAGUGCAG
RNAcentral lists this long non-coding RNA (569 nucleotides) under Sus scrofa (pig). Its description in RNAcentral is "lncRNA (ENSSSCG00015004394.1, ENSSSCG00030026248.1, ENSSSCG00060013825.1, ENSSSCG00065050728.1)". Lineage: Eukaryota; Metazoa; Chordata; Mammalia; Artiodactyla; Suidae. The record is from RNAcentral.